GGCAUGUCUAUAAAUUGUAAACUUUGGUGUUGGAGCAGGAUUUCUUUCAAGAAGAAAUGCAUCCACAUGUUUUUUUACUAAACUCCACACAUUUCCUUAAUUGGAAAGUACUCCAGAUUGCUUCUACAAAAGACACUCUGACGCUCAAGUCAAUAUUUGUGCAGCGAUCUCUUAGUACUUGAUUGAAUUUCUCGUACCUUUGGUUGAGGCUCAGUUGGGCUUUUAUAGGGCUCCAAGGCUCCACCCCUUU
This 250-nucleotide long non-coding RNA is filed under the name Prunus persica (peach). Its description in RNAcentral is "long non-coding RNA (PPER_LNC005451)". Lineage: Eukaryota; Viridiplantae; Streptophyta; Magnoliopsida; Rosales; Rosaceae. The record is from RNAcentral.